Molecule: ribosomal RNA, 515 nt
Filed under: uncultured bacterium
Lineage: Bacteria
Description: partial 16S ribosomal RNA
Rfam family: Bacterial small subunit ribosomal RNA
Source: RNAcentral
GAUGAACGCUGGCGGCGUGCCUAAUACAUGCAAGUCGAGCGAAUGGAUUAAGAGCUUGCUCUUAUGAAGUUAGCGGCGGACGGGUGAGUAACACGCGGGUAACCUGCCCAUAAGACUGGGAUAACUCCGGGAAACCGGGGCUAAUGCCGGAUGACAUUUUGAACCGCAUGGUUCGAAAUUGAAAGGCGGCUUCGGCUGUCACUUAUGGAUGGACCCGCGUCGCAUUAGCUAGUUGGUGAGGUAACGGCUCACCAAGGCAACGAUGCGUAGCCGACCUGAGAGGGUGAUCGGCCACACUGGGACUGAGACACGGCCCAGACUCCUACGGGAGGCAGCAGUAGGGAAUCUUCCGCAAUGGACGAAAGUCUGACGGAGCAACGCCGCGUGAGUGACGAAGGCUUUCGGGUCGUAAAACUCCGUUGUUAGGGAAGAACAAGUGCUAGUUGAAUAAGCUGACACCUUGACGGUACCUAACCAGAAAGCCACGGCUAACUACGUGCCAGCAGCCGCGGUAA